CCAGAGUCCUCCGGGAGGCAGCAGUAGGGAAUCUUCGGCAAUGGGGGGAACCCUGACCGAGCAACGCCGCGUGAGUGAAGAAGGUUUUCGGAUCGUAAAGCUCUGUUGUAAGAGAAGAACGGGUGUGAGAGUGGAAAGUUCACACUGUGACGGUAUCUUACCAGAAAGGGACGGCUAACUACGUGCCAGCAGCCGCGGUAAUACGUAGGUCCCGAGCGUUGUCCGGAUUUAUUGGGCGUAAAGCGAGCGCAGGCGGUUAGAUAAGUCUGAAGUUAAAGGCUGUGGCUUAACCAUAGUAUGCUUUGGAAACUGUUUAACUUGAGUGCAGAAGGGGAGAGUGGAAUUCCAUGUGUAGCGGUGAAAUGCGUAGAUAUAUGGAGGAACACCGGUGGCGAAAGCGGCUCUCUGGUCUGUAACUGACGCUGAGGCUCGAAAGCGUGGGGAGCAAACAGGAUUAGAUACCCUGGUAGUCCACGCCGUAAACGAUGAGUGCUAGGUGUUAGGCCCUUUCCGGGGCUUAGUGCCGCAGCUAACGCAUUAAGCACUCCGCCUGGGGAGUACGACCGCAAGGUUGAAACUCAAAGGAAUUGACGGGGGCCCGCACAAG
RNAcentral lists this ribosomal RNA (607 nucleotides) under uncultured bacterium. Its description in RNAcentral is "bacterial SSU rRNA". It matches the Rfam family "Bacterial small subunit ribosomal RNA", at positions 331 to 929 of the family's 1533-position model. The record is from RNAcentral.